GGCAGAGAAUGGACUUGGACCCCCCAAAAUUCCAUCUAUGGGGCAGGAAAUGGAACCUGAGACCCCCAAGUUCCACUUGUGGGGCAGAGAACGAGACUUGGACCCCCCAAAAUUCACUUGUGGGGCACCUGGAGACCCCCAAGUUCCACUUGUGGGGCAGAGAACGAGACUUGGACCCCCUAAAAUUCCAUCUAUGGGGCAGAGAAUGGACUUGGAGACCCCCAAAAUUCACUUGGGGGGCAGAGAAUGGAUUCCAGUGACCCCCAAGUUCCACUUGUGGGGCAGAAACGGAGCCUGAGAACCCAAAGUUCACUUGUGGGGCAGAGAACGGACUUGGAGACGCCCAAAAUUUCACUUGUGGGGCAGAGACGGAGCCCGAGACCCCCAAGUUCCACUUGUGGGGCAGGAAAUGGACUUGGACCCCCCAAAUUCCAUCUAUGGGGCAGAGAAUGGACUUGGAGACCCCCAAAAUUCACUUGUGGGGCACCUGGAGACCCCCAAGUUCCACUUGUGGGGCAGAGAAUGGACUUGGACCCCCCAAAAUUCCAUCUAUGGGGCAGAAACGGAGCCUGAGACCCCAAAUUUCCACUUGUGGGGCAGAAACGGAUUCCAGCGACCCCCAAGUUCACUUGUGGGGCAGAAAAGGAACUUUGAGACCCCAAACUCCACUUAUGGGGCAGGAAAUCGACUCCAGCGACCCCCAAAUUUCACUUGUGGGGCAGAAACGGAUUCCAGCGACCCCCAAGUUCACUUAUGGGGCAGAAAAAUCGACUCCAGUGACCCC
This 784-nucleotide long non-coding RNA is filed under the name Cyanistes caeruleus (blue tit). RNAcentral describes it as "lncRNA (ENSCCEG00000000346.1)". The record is from RNAcentral. Lineage: Eukaryota; Metazoa; Chordata; Aves; Passeriformes; Paridae.